Molecule: ribosomal RNA, 661 nt
Filed under: Drosophila cardinoides
Lineage: Eukaryota; Metazoa; Arthropoda; Insecta; Diptera; Drosophilidae
Description: eukaryotic LSU rRNA
Rfam family: Eukaryotic large subunit ribosomal RNA
Source: RNAcentral
GAAAUCAGUUCAGCACUAAGUCACUUUGUCUAUAUGGCAAAUGUGAGAUGCAGUGUAUGGAACAUCAAUAUUCUAGUAUGAGAAAUUAACGAUUUAAGUCCUUCUUAAAUGAGGCCAUUUACCCAUAGAGGGUGCCAGGCCCGUAUAACGUUAAUGAUUAUUAGAUGGUGUUUCCAAAGAGUCGUGUUGCUUGAUAGUGCAGCACUAAGUGGGUGGUAAACUCCAUCUAAAACUAAAUAUAACCAUGAGACCGAUAGUAAACAAGUACCGUGAGGGAAAGUUGAAAAGAACUCUGAAUAGAGAGUUAAAUAGUACGUGAAACUGCUUAGAGGUUAAGCCCGAUGAACCUGAAUAUCCGUUAUGGAAAAUUCAUCAUUAGACUUGUAAUAUUUAAACAAUAUUAUGAUAAUAGUGUGCAUUUUUUCCAUAUAAGGACAUUGUAAUCUAUUAGUUAAAAAUAAUUUAUCAAAAAAUUUUAGAUAAAAGUUUAUUUAAAUUAAAGUGCUUGCAUUUUAACAUAAAAUAAAUGUCUUUAAUUUGAUAAAGUUCUGAUAGAUUUAUAUGAAUACAGUGCGUUAAUUUUUCGGAAUUAUAUAAUGGCAUGAUUAUCAUUGAUUUUUGUGUUUAUUAUAUGCACUUGUAUGAUUAACAAUGCGAAAGA